RNAcentral lists this long non-coding RNA (784 nucleotides) under Homo sapiens (human). RNAcentral's name for it is "long non-coding RNA NONHSAT148995.1". The record is from RNAcentral. Lineage: Eukaryota; Metazoa; Chordata; Mammalia; Primates; Hominidae.
AUGCAAGGGGGUGGGGAGGUGGACUUGGUGUUAAAGAGAAAACCACACUGUCGACAAGAGCCAGACUUCAAAAGCAUCUAAAGAAACAAAGACAAAGCUGCCAUCAUCAUUUGUUAGUAGACAGUUGUCAUGGAGUGGGGAUUGACUCACUUUAAGCAAAGGAGAAUUCUAGGACAGGAGGAGCAAAUUCAGCUACCUUGAGGAGCCAGGCAGGGAAUGCAUCCAGCAUUGUUUAAAGAGGGAGGCAACAGCCAAGAAGAGCUAUGUGAGGCCUCUCUUGGCCCUCCAGUUCUUCAUUAGGGAGCAAAGAAAGGAGGACUUUGCCAAGAGCAAACCUGAAACAUUCCUUUGGGUUCAGUUCAAUCGCCUGCAAGUCACGUUUCCACACAAACAUGUCCCCAGGACUGAGGAUGCAAGGCACUGUUCAAGGCGUCUCUUGGAUGAAGACAUGGCAAAAGCUACCACCACCAUGCAGCUCUGUGAUGCUUCUACUAGUGUCUUCCAUUGGCUGAACUCAGCUGAACACUACAGGGUAAAGAAGCCCAGAUGAUGCUGUCUGUUGAAGUCAGUUUCUUGAAGCACAAAGCAGGUAAGGGGAAAGGUGAAAAGUGGAUCUGGAGGAACAAACAGGAUAUACCCUGCAAAAUCAUUGAUAUUACUAUUUCUAAAAUAGAAAAAAUACACAAAUUUAAAAAGUGAUGGCAUUUGAAACUUACUUCUGUCAUCAAAUGUGAUAAAAAUAAUUCCCAUCUAAUAAAAUUAUUGGGUAACCUUGAAAAUCAAC